Molecule: ribosomal RNA, 428 nt
Filed under: uncultured bacterium
Lineage: Bacteria
Description: bacterial SSU rRNA
Rfam family: Bacterial small subunit ribosomal RNA
Source: RNAcentral
UGAGUAACACGUGGACAAUCUGCCCCCCGGCCCGGGAUAGCCCAGGGAAACCUGGAGUUAAUACCGGAUGAGACGGGACCCGCGAAGGCGGGACCCGGGAAGGCGCUGCGGCGCCGCCGGGGGAUGAGUCUGCGUCCCAUUAGCUAGACGGCGGGGUAACGGCCCACCGUGGCGACGAUGGGUAGCCGGCCUGAGAGGGUGGACGGCCACAUUGGAACCUGAGACACGGUCCAGACUCCUACGGGAGGCAGCAGCUAAGAAUCUUCCGCAAUGGGCGAAAGCCUGACGGAGCGAACCGCCGCGUGAAACGAAGAAGGCCGUGAGGUUGUAAAGUUCUUUUCGGGAGGGGGAACAACCGUGGCAGGGAAUGGCCGCGGGAUGACGUGAAUCCCGGAAUAAGCCCCGGCUAACUACGUGCCAGCCGCCGC